UGAUGACUGUUCCCCCUUUUGCCUUCAGACCUGGCACUAGGAUUUGAGGUCAUCAUAAAUUAAAAUUUGAUUUUCUUCACUCAGAGAAUAUUAGGAUAAUGGGAUUAUCUGUCUAUUCUCUGAACUUUGCGGAAUCAAACAAUU
RNAcentral lists this small nucleolar RNA (144 nucleotides) under Carlito syrichta (Philippine tarsier). RNAcentral's name for it is "Small nucleolar RNA SNORA79 (ENSTSYG00000023210.2)". It matches the Rfam family "Small nucleolar RNA SNORA79". From Rfam's summary of the family: ACA65 (SNORA79) is a member of the H/ACA class of snoRNAs that guide the sites of modification of uridines to pseudouridines. The record is from Rfam by way of RNAcentral. Lineage: Eukaryota; Metazoa; Chordata; Mammalia; Primates; Tarsiidae.